UACGAAGGGGGCUAGCGUUGUUCGGAAUCACUGGGCGUAAAGCGCACGUAGGCGGAUUUUUAAGUCAGGGGUGAAAUCCCGAGGCUCAACCUCGGAACUGCCUUUGAUACUGGGGAUCUCGAGUCCGGGAGAGGUGAGUGGAACUGCGAGUGUAGAGGUGAAAUUCGUAGAUAUUCGCAAGAACACCAGUGGCGAAGGCGGCUCACUGGCCCGGAACUGACGCUGAGGUGCGAAAGCGUGGGGAGCAAACAGG
This 253-nucleotide ribosomal RNA is filed under the name uncultured bacterium. Its description in RNAcentral is "partial 16S ribosomal RNA". It matches the Rfam family "Bacterial small subunit ribosomal RNA", at positions 524 to 776 of the family's 1533-position model. The record is from RNAcentral.